Molecule: ribosomal RNA, 497 nt
Filed under: uncultured bacterium
Lineage: Bacteria
Description: partial 16S ribosomal RNA
Rfam family: Bacterial small subunit ribosomal RNA
Source: RNAcentral
GAUGAACGCUGGCGGCGUGCCUAAUACAUGCGAGUCGAGCGAACAGACGAGGAGCUUGCUCCUCUGACGUUAGCGGCGGACGGGUGAGUAACACGUGGAUAACCUACCUAUAAGACUGGGAUAACUUCGGGAAACCGGAGCUAAUACCGGAUAAUAUAUUGAACCGCAUGGUUCAAUAGUGAAAGACGGUUUUGCUGUCACUUAUAGAUGGAUCCGCGCCGCAUUAGCUAGUUGGUAAGGUAACGGCUUACCAAGGCGACGAUGCGUAGCCGACCUGAGAGGGUGAUCGGCCACACUGGAACUGAGACACGGUCCAGACUCCUACGGGAGGCAGCAGUAGGGAAUCUUCCGCAAUGGGCGAAAGCCUGACGGAGCAACGCCGCGUGAGUGAUGAAGGUCUUCGGAUCGUAAAACUCUGUUAUUAGGGAAGAACAAAUGUGUAAGUAACUAUGCACGUCUUGACGGUACCUAAUCACAAAGCCACGGCUAACUACGUG